This 979-nucleotide ribosomal RNA is filed under the name Bizionia sp. S1-75. RNAcentral describes it as "bacterial SSU rRNA". It matches the Rfam family "Bacterial small subunit ribosomal RNA", at positions 85 to 1070 of the family's 1533-position model. Lineage: Bacteria; Pseudomonadati; Bacteroidota; Flavobacteriia; Flavobacteriales; Flavobacteriaceae. The record is from RNAcentral.
AUGCUGACGACCGGCGCACGGGUGAGUAACGCGUAUACAAUCUACCUUGUACUGAGGGAUAGCCCAGAGAAAUUUGGAUUAAUACCUCAUAGUAUAUAGUUUUCACCUGAGGACUAUAUUAAAGGUUACGGUACAAGAUGAGUAUGCGUUCUAUUAGCUAGAUGGUAAGGUAACGGCUUACCAUGGCAACGAUAGAUAGGGGCCCUGAGAGGGGGAUCCCCCACACUGGUACUGAGACACGGACCAGACUCCAACGGGAGGCAGCAGUGAGGAAUAUUGGACAAUGGGCGAGAGCCUGAUCCAGCCAUGCCGCGUGCAGGAUGACUGCCCUAUGGGUUGUAAACUGCUUUUAUACAGGAAGAAACCCCCCGACGUGUCGGGGCUUGACGGUACUGUAAGAAUAAGGAUCGGCUAACUCCGUGCCAGCAGCCGCGGUAAUACGGAGGAUCCAAGCGUUAUCCGGAAUCAUUGGGUUUAAAGGGUCCGUAGGUGGAUAAUUAAGUCAGAGGUGAAAUCCUGCAGCUCAACUGUAGAAUUGCCUUUGAAACUGGUUAUCUUGAGUUAUUAUGAAGUAGUUAGAAUAUGUAGUGUAGCGGUGAAAUGCAUAGAUAUUACAUAGAAUACCAAUUGCGAAGGCAGAUUACUAAUAAUACACUGACACUGAUGGACGAAAGCGUGGGGAGCGAACAGGAUUAGAUACCCUGGUAGUCCACGCCGUAAACGAUGGUUACUAGCUGUUCGGUUUUCGGACUGAGUGGCUAAGCGAAAGUGAUAAGUAACCCACCUGGGGAGUACGUUCGCAAGAAUGAAACUCAAAGGAAUUGACGGGGGCCCGCACAAGCGGUGGAGCAUGUGGUUUAAUUCGAUGAUACGCGAGGAACCUUACCAAGGCUUAAAUGUAGAUUGACAGGUUUAGAGAUAGACUUUUCUUCGGACAAUUUACAAGGUGCUGCAUGGUUGUCGUCAGCUCGUGCCGUGA